This is a long non-coding RNA of Nothoprocta perdicaria, 629 nucleotides long. RefSeq lists it as uncharacterized. The transcript is spliced from 4 exons. Lineage: Eukaryota; Metazoa; Chordata; Aves; Tinamiformes; Tinamidae. The record is from RefSeq and is a predicted model, not a curated record.
CUGAAUCACCAUAAAGUAGGAUUCUGGCAGAAGAACCUCAUUAUCACAGGAUGAUGGGGGAGAUUGUAUGGAGCAGGUACCUGCCACCAGUAGGAGCCAGGAUUGCUGGAGAAGGCGGGGAAAUGAAAACCAGCAAUGACCUAGACUGUUCCUGGGCUGUCUGUUCCUGGACUAUAAAGGAAAUGGUCCGAAGAAUAUGAAAUGCCUGAUAAAAUAUAUGCAAAGAAAAUCGUAGAAAUAUGAUAGGUACUUCACUGUCUCAUGUUGCCAAGAAAAGAAACCUCAGGAGUAACUCAGGAUUCUUCUCCUCGUUCAGUUCUUGCUCACAGGACCGGGACACCUCAGUGGACAAUGCAACUUUUCAAACAUCUAAGUGAGCUAAGGACACUCUGGACUUAUGCUAUCUUGCAGCAGAGAGUUGGAGAAUGGAGCAACAACUGUAUUAUUGAAGAGCUCCAUAGCCACAGACUGGGAAAAGCAUGAUCGGAUGUGAUUUUCAGAACAGAUGCCCAAGCAGAGUUGGCAGUUAAUUAAAAGCACUAUGUACUUAAUGAUUAACUAAUCACAGCGUGAUGGCAUUCAACGGAGAUGCAAGAAACUUCUCUGCUGGAUUCAACAGAGAAACUCCU